RNAcentral lists this ribosomal RNA (253 nucleotides) under uncultured archaeon. Its description in RNAcentral is "partial 16S ribosomal RNA". It matches the Rfam family "Archaeal small subunit ribosomal RNA", at positions 748 to 1000 of the family's 1478-position model. The record is from RNAcentral.
CAGCCGUAAACUAUGCUCGCUAGGUGUCAGGCAUGGCGCGACCGUGUCUGGUGCCGCAGGGAAGCCGUGAAGCGAGCCACCUGGGAAGUACGGCCGCAAGGCUGAAACUUAAAGGAAUUGGCGGGGGAGCACAACAACGGGUGGAGCCUGCGGUUUAAUUGGACUCAACGCCGGACAACUCACCGGGGACGACAGCAAUAUGUAGGCCAGGCUGAAGACCUUGCCUGAAUCGCUGAGAGGAGGUGCAUGGCGU